AACGAACGCUGGCGGCAUGCCUAACACAUGCAAGUCGAACGAGACCUUCGGGUCUAGUGGCGCACGGGUGCGUAACGCGUGGGAACCUGCCCUUAGGUUCGGAAUAACUCCCCGAAAGGGGUGCUAAUACCGGAUAAUGUCUUCGGACCAAAGAUUUAUCGCCUUUGGAUGGGCCCGCGUUGGAUUAGCUAGUUGGUAGGGUAAAAGCCUACCAAGGCGACGAUCCAUAGCUGGUCUGAGAGGAUGAUCAGCCACACUGGGACUGAGACACGGCCCAGACUCCUACGGGAGGAAGCAGUGGGGAAUAUUGGACAAUGGGCGAAAGCCUGAGCCAGCAAUGCCGCGUGAGUGAUGAAGGCCUUAGGGUUGUAAAGCUCUUUUACCCGGGAUGAUAAGGACAGUACCGGGAGAAUAAGCUCCGGCUAACUCCGU
This 432-nucleotide ribosomal RNA is filed under the name uncultured bacterium. RNAcentral's name for it is "partial 16S ribosomal RNA". It matches the Rfam family "Bacterial small subunit ribosomal RNA", at positions 29 to 506 of the family's 1533-position model. The record is from RNAcentral.